GAUGAACGCUAGCUACAGGCUUAACACAUGCAAGUCGAGGGGUAACGAGAGGAAAGCUUGCUUUCCUUGUCGACGACCGGCGCACGGGUGAGUAACGCGUAUCCAACCUGCCCCCAACUAGGGAAUAACCUUGCGAAAGUAAGACUAAUACCCUAUAAUUUCCUCAGAUGUCAUCUGACGAGGAAUAAAGAUUUAUCGGUUGUGGAUGGGGAUGCGUCUGAUUAGCUUGUUGGCGGGGUAACGGCCCACCAAGGCAACGACCAGUAGGGGUUCUGAGAGGAAGUGCCCCCACAUUGGACCUGCGACACGGUCCAAACUCCUACGGGAGGCAGCAGUGAGGAAUAUUGGUCAAUGGGCGGAAGCCUGAACCAGCCAAGUAGCGUGCAGGAUGACGGCCCUAUGGGUUGUAAACUGCUUUUAUACAGGAAUAAAGUUAGCCACGUGUGGUUAUUUGUAGGUACUGUAUGAAUAAGGACCGGCUAAUUCCGUGCCAGCCGCCGCCGUAA
Molecule: ribosomal RNA, 506 nt
Filed under: uncultured bacterium
Lineage: Bacteria
Description: partial 16S ribosomal RNA
Rfam family: Bacterial small subunit ribosomal RNA
Source: RNAcentral